AGACUCAGAGAGUUGGUUUUCGACUGGUACUACUACUCCAGUUACCAGCUUUCAUUUAAAUAAGAAGCAAAUUACAAGAACAUGCGUAAACCAAACUUCCUAUUCUACCGCUACUAACUACACGACCUAUGUCGUGGUUCAACUUAAACCAAAAUAGAACAACUAAUCAACGUGUGCUGCGGGAUUUAUGCUAACAAAUCACCCCCUAAUCCCGUUGCACCUCGAC
This 226-nucleotide long non-coding RNA is filed under the name Nicotiana benthamiana. RNAcentral describes it as "long non-coding RNA (NBEN_LNC000783)". The record is from RNAcentral. Lineage: Eukaryota; Viridiplantae; Streptophyta; Magnoliopsida; Solanales; Solanaceae.